UGGGGAAUAUUGCACAAUGGGCGCAAGCCUGAUGCAGCCAUGCCGCGUGUAUGAAGAAGGCCUUCGGGUUGUAAAGUACUUUCAGCGAGGAGGAAGGCGAUGCGGUUAAUAACCGUGUCGAUUGACGUUACUCGCAGAAGAAGCACCGGCUAACUCCGUGCCAGCAGCCGCGGUAAUACGGAGGGUGCAAGCGUUAAUCGGAAUUACUGGGCGUAAAGCGCACGCAGGCGGUCUGUCAAGUCGGAUGUGAAAUCCCCGGGCUCAACCUGGGAACUGCAUUCGAAACUGGCAGGCUUGAGUCUUGUAGAGGGGGGUAGAAUUCCAGGUGUAGCGGUGAAAUGCGUAGAGAUCUGGAGGAAUACCGGUGGCGAAGGC
RNAcentral lists this ribosomal RNA (375 nucleotides) under uncultured bacterium. RNAcentral's name for it is "partial 16S ribosomal RNA". It matches the Rfam family "Bacterial small subunit ribosomal RNA", at positions 355 to 722 of the family's 1533-position model. The record is from RNAcentral.